UUCGAAACUUCGGCUUUAGAUCUACGACGAUAGAAGUAGCGGCUCAGAAAAGUGGUUGUACUUUCGGAAUCUGGCAUAUAUAUAGUGUUAGGGUUUUGGGUUGAUGGAAAAACGAGAUAUUUUAUUAAUUUCGGAAUUAAUUAAUUUCGUGAAUAAAAAUAAUUCUAGAAAAUCCAGAGUUGAUAUUUAAGGUCAAAAAAAAUACUCCGAAGGCUCAAAAAAUUAUAAGAAAAUUUUUAGAGAUAUUUUAGAACACGAGGAACCCAAAUAAAAUAUUUAUAGCUCAUGAAAAGAUAUCUAAAAGUAUUUUAAAAUUAGAUUAUGCUCAUAGGAAAGUGCAAAAGAAUUUCAGAAAAAACUAGAAAACUCCCGAGAAAUUUUAAUAGAUCGAUUGAUGGAAGAUAUACCCAAAAUCAAAAAUUUUGGGGUGUGACAAAAACCAAAGAGGCAUAGAUGGGAAAGAAAUACAAAAAAAUCAAACGUCCCCGUCAUGAAGAAAAAAGAAAAGAGGGAAAAAUAUACACAAGAUAGAGCCCAU
RNAcentral lists this long non-coding RNA (538 nucleotides) under Sorghum bicolor (sorghum). RNAcentral's name for it is "long non-coding RNA (SBIC_LNC002197)". Lineage: Eukaryota; Viridiplantae; Streptophyta; Magnoliopsida; Poales; Poaceae. The record is from RNAcentral.